Molecule: long non-coding RNA, 616 nt
Filed under: Homo sapiens (human)
Lineage: Eukaryota; Metazoa; Chordata; Mammalia; Primates; Hominidae
Description: long intergenic non-protein coding RNA 2607
Source: RNAcentral
GACUCUGGGUUCUGCUCAGCAGACUGAAGGGAACACAACUAUGAUGAUUCUCUAUGCUGUACUUGGAGAAGGCUGGUUAGUCAUAAGUUUUAAAGCAGGUCAGUAUGGUGGAUUUCCAGUCUGCCAGCCUCCUUUGCAGUGGGUUGGGACCGAGUGACGGCUUCUGGCAAAUGAACUGUUCUUUCUUGCCCUGGAGACUCAAUGAUUUUAUGUCUAGUGGUUCAUAAGUCACAAAAUAUCUGGAAUUAGGUGGGAGACCAUGAUGAUGACAUUUGGAAGCAUCUCAGGAGACAAGAAUAAAACGCCAUUUUUUUUCCCACUUCGCUAACAACUCAGUGUUCUGAAAAGUCUGGAAUGUGCUAUGAAAAGUUUGUGUGCUUAGUGAAAUGUUGUACAAUUGGCCAAUCCACUAAGUCUUGGGAAAUGUCUUAGGAGCUUGGCAAGAAGAAGUUCUCAAGAGAGCCUGAAUGCUGCCAGUUUCCAAUUGGCCAAGACACAUUACAAGGACAACUGUCUCUCUGAGCAACCUGGCAUUUCCACUCCAAUUGGAAUCUGCAAGGGGAAGAUGCGCAGGGGAAGAAGAUUAAACAAACCUUUUCAGAUUUCUGGUCCAGGU